This is a long non-coding RNA of Cyprinus carpio (common carp), 536 nucleotides long. Lineage: Eukaryota; Metazoa; Chordata; Actinopteri; Cypriniformes; Cyprinidae. The record is from Ensembl.
UAGCUCAUUGUUUUCUGGGUAAAAAAAGAAGAAAACAGUAAGUUUUUUUUGUUUAAUUUUUGUUGUCUAGCUGUUGUCUAGCUGUUGUCUAGCUGUUGUUUAGCUGUAAAUGUGAAAUUAGCUUCUUAUCCGAUAUAUUGUAUGAAAAGAUGUCAUAAAUAUCAAUAUUUAAUUUUUUUUGCAAUAAAAUGAGAUCAAAAAAACUGAAUGAGCCCAGUCAAGAAACUGGUACGAGUUGUUCUGGACCUGCAGAGACAUAUUCUCUGAUCACUUUUGUACCAGCCACAUCUCAGCCCAUAGGCCUCGAACACCCAGAGUCACAUCAGGACAGCACAGCAGUUCUCACAGACACUCGCUCUUUCAUUACAUCUGUAAAUCCAAUUCACCAGCCCUCAGAUGGUUUGGUCAAUAAAAAACGGAAAUGGAGAAACACAGAGGAAAAUGUGAAUGUUAAUCAUCUAUACUCAACAAUCCCUGACAAACCAGUUCACUCCAACACAGGAGAUCAAGUCUACAGUUUGGUGAAGAUGCACUGA